Molecule: long non-coding RNA, 1481 nt
Organism: Oryzias melastigma (Indian medaka)
Lineage: Eukaryota; Metazoa; Chordata; Actinopteri; Beloniformes; Adrianichthyidae
Exons: 2
Source: RefSeq, a predicted model, not a curated record
GCCUUCGCAACUUGAUGUUGAGUAACAGUUUUUUUUUUAAAGCAUUCAAGGCUUACAGUCACAGUGAUGUCUGAAUGAACAUAAGUGUAUGAAGUGGGACACAUGCCUUGAUGUCCAGCCAGCUGCACCCAGGAGCUUUGCCGCCGCAACGACCAGUGCAUCAUCGUCAGGGUCAUCCGUGUACUCUGAGAAGAGCUCAACCUCCACCAUUUGUUUCUGCUCUGCUGCUCCAGUCAGGAAGGCUGGGAGGAACAGCAGCGUUCCCAGAGUCUUCAGCAGGUCAGAUCGGUAUCGCAGCAUGCCCUGAACACAACAGAACCACAGAUGUCACAUGCCCAAUGAGAAGCUUCAAAUAUAUCCACCACAACCAUUCAGAAAAUGGAUGCACUCAAAUAGCAUUUAAUACCAAAACUCUGAUGUCAGUGUUACUCACAAAUAUUAAAUUAUAUUUUAUCUUAAUUGACUAUUUUGAACCAGCCCCUAUACAAAAUUGUUUUAUUAAAAUGUGUGUAGCAGGAUACCAACAUGCUGUUAUUCAAAGUCUGGAAAGGAGUGGGCAACACGAUUUGCACUCAGUGAAAAUGUUCAGGUCAGCCUGCAUCUGUUUCCUUCAUCUUAUCAAGUGAGUCACCAGAACACAAAGAACUUGUUGCAGUGGGGUUCUGCAGCUGUAGGGUUAAAAAGAUUUGUACUCACAAAGCGAGAGCUGGAAGCCUUUAGCAUCUGUUUUGCCUGAGAAGCCACACAAAAGCAUCAACUCCUAAAUGUUGGCAUUCUGACUGUCGAAAAACAUGCUGCUGCCUAAGAGGGUGAAGCUUACAGAGCGGGCGGAAGCUGCAACCUGACCUCCAUCCUGAGAAAAACAGGUCGUCUUUAUCAUGAACAUCCCCAACUGCUGAUUGACGGGUGAGUCGGGCAUCUCAAGCUGCAAAGAGAUCUGGUAGACCUGACCGAAUGUCAGCACCUGUGUAUGUAAGGAACAGCAUCAGAACUGUAUGAUCUAGAGAACUACAAAGAUGUUUGAAAGCAUAAAAAUGUACAGACGUUUUUCUUGUUUCUCAUCAGGGAAAUGUUGGCCAUGGGAUAUGAGCACAAAAAAGAAGAGGGAGAUACACAGUCCAUCCUGCAGACAACAAUAUAUCUGGUAGAAUGAAUGUAAACAGAAAAAAAUAAAUGUUUUUUUUAGUUGUAUCUACUCAACAACAUGUUUUAACUGACCUGUAGUAAUAGUGAACAGGUGUGGAAAAUGCUGCUGUGGGCAUGUAAGAAUAGUAGAAGCUCCCAUACAAAAAGGCAGCGAUCGAGAGUAGCAGAAGAAUAACAGAGAGCACAGUUAGGCCCUGUGCAAGUCUCUCACGAACUCGCAACAUCGCCGUGGCAACCGCAUCCUGAAGCUUCAACAGGAUAGAAGUGAUGAUGAGGGAAGGCUCCUCGACACCACCUGAAGGCACAUGACUUUCUUGGUCCAUUAAGUCUAAAAA